GACGAACGCUGGCGGCGUGCUUAACACAUGCAAGUCGAACGGAAAGGCCCUGCUUUUGUGGGGUGCUCGAGUGGCGAACGGGUGAGUAACACGUGAGUAACCUGCCCUUGACUUUGGGAGAACUUCAGGAAACUGGGGCUAAUACCGGAUAGGAGCUCCUGCUGCAUGGUGGGGGUUGGAAAGUUUCGGCGGGUGGGGAUGGACUCGCGGCUUAUCAGCUUGUUGGUGGGGUAGUGGCUUACCAAGGCUUUGACGGGUAGCCGGCCUGAGAGGGUGACCGGCCACAUUGGGACUGAGAUACGGCCCAGACUCCUACGGGAGGCAGCAGUGGGGAAUAUUGCACAAUGGGCGGAAGCCUGAUGCAGCAACGCCGUGUGCGGGAUGACGGUCUUCGGGUUGUAAACCGCUUUCGCCUGUGACGAAGCGUGAGUGACGGUAAUGGGUAAAGAAGCACCGGCUAACUACGUG
Molecule: ribosomal RNA, 468 nt
Filed under: uncultured bacterium
Lineage: Bacteria
Description: partial 16S ribosomal RNA
Rfam family: Bacterial small subunit ribosomal RNA
Source: RNAcentral